RNAcentral lists this long non-coding RNA (2647 nucleotides) under Arachis ipaensis. RNAcentral describes it as "long non-coding RNA (AIPA_LNC002198)". Lineage: Eukaryota; Viridiplantae; Streptophyta; Magnoliopsida; Fabales; Fabaceae. The record is from RNAcentral.
UGCAAGAAUACCAAACAUAAAGCCUGGAAAGGCUACUAUAGAAUACCUAAUAAAGAUUCAGGCAUCCACACGAUUUUGGGGUCUGUCAUUGAUCAGAAAGACUUGACUUUUUUCCUUAGUUUAAUCCACUCUUAAUAUUGUUAGAUUUUGGUCUUCUAUCUUGUGGAACUUUUGCAGGGGGACUGCUGUUAAGUGUAUUGGCCACUACAUCUACUAUUCUUGAUCACCAUUUACGGCGCAUCAAUGCUGGAUUUGCUAUUGGUUUUACCUCAGUUCUAAUUAUUGUAAGUACAAGAAGGGUGCAUUUACUUGUACUUUUAUUGUACCUGGAAUGCAAACUCAUCAGUAUACAACCAAGAAACAAAUUUGUGCCUGCUUAACCUGGCUUGAAUUGUUAUUUCUUUUUGGGUAAUUUAAAUUUAGGUGCACUAUUUCUUUACUGUUAUGUGUUGAGUCAUCUCCCAUGCAUGUCACUAGGAUCCUUUGAACUCUUCCUCCGCUACAAAUAACAGUGUUUAUUCGCCAUUACACUUCUAAUCUAAUAUUGAAAGUUUCAACAAUUUAAAACACGUGCUUUGUUGAUGUGACCGGUAUGUUCUAUUCUACAGUUUGAUUAAUUAGUCCCUUUUGCUGCUUCAGGUUGGUUCCCUUAUCGAACUUAGAAGAUCAUAUCAUAAACAAAAAAGAAAAGAAAAAUGACCAAAAGGAUGAUAAAUAGAUAAUUUUGGAUGAAUGUUUUACCACUAACUGAUAAUGAGGACCAUAAGAGUUUAAGAUAUCAGUUGUAACUUGUAAUGUGGAAUUUGUUUAAACUGGAAUUCAGUUUAGCCUGUAGUACCUUGUGUUGAUGUUUUACGGAUGUGAUAUAAUUUUUAUAUCUAGUUAAUUAAAUAUCAUGGAAUAAACACUAUCUUUUUGAGUAAUAUCUCUUGAUAUUGCAGUGAAUGGUCUGGGUGGUGUGACUUGGUGCCAAUAUCUGCUUGCAGUGUUGGGUAUUUUCACCAUAGUUACUAUGUGGGCAGUUGUGGUAACUGAAAGUUGCAGGAAAGUAAAUCUUCAGUACUAUGGUUUCAAACUUGCUUCUGCUGCAAGGUAAUGGUUGAAACUUUGCUGCACCUGAAAAGUCUAGAUAAUCAUGAUUUUAGAGUUCUGAUAUUUAUCACUUAAAAUUUUUCUCAAUUUUUAUACGGUUGAUUAUUAAUGGGGAAAGUUGUUCCAUUCCUCUAGUUGAGAAAAUGACUAUUUUAUUGUCUUCUGUUGUACCUUCAUUGGCAUGGGUAUUGACAGUAUAUUGGAGUAUUGGACUAAUUUAUUUUGUAGAAUUAAUUUCAUAUAUACUUAUGUCAUUCUGAAGGAUUAACUGAUACUUGAGUGUACUGAUGUAUAAUUGAUCUUACUAUGCUUACUAUGUUAAACAGGGAGCAAUCACCAAUUACUGAAGUCGAACCGUAUAUUCCUUUCAAUAUUAAUCCAUCUGGAAUUCUUACUACCAGUCGAACCGUAUAUUCCUUUCAAUAUUAAUCCAUCUGGAAUGCAACCUGUUCUUACUACCUCUUACCUCUUAGCAUUUCCAUGUAUUCUAGCCAGGUUUGUGCACGCUCUUUUUUAGCUUGACAACAUUGCAGGUUAAAUCUUGCUUUUGCUAUCUUCUAUCUCCCCCCCUUCUUUUUUUCUGUGUGUGUGGCGCAUGCUAUGUUGCAUAUUGAUUUACUAUUUUCUAGUGAUUUGCAUUCUCUAAUAUAGCUUUUAUUUAUAGUCUGCUUCAAUCACGUUUCUGGGAGCACGUAAAGGAGAUAUUGAACCCUGAAAAUUCUGUUGGUGCUGAGCCAUGGGUUUACUAUUCAAUAUAUGCUCUUUUUGUCUUCCUAUUCAAUAUAUUUGAUAUUGUAAGUUUCUUUUUGCUGAUAUGAGUUUCCAUUUGCAUUUUCAGUAGUUUCUUGUUGAUAUAAACUUAAGUUUUAUGAAAAUAAUAAAAUACAGUGAAAAGUUUAUAGAUGUGCCGUGUAUAACAUUAGAGAAAAGUCAGCUCUUCAAUUUCCUUGGAUUACUAAAAUGAGUUUUUUCAAAUUAUCUGUUGAAGGUCUCAAACUAUGGAAUGUCUUGUGCUACUAGUCUACUACUUUUUCCAGUUAUGACAUUUUCAAUGCAAUUUAGUAAUGUGUAUUAGCAGUCUAGUGGGUAAGACUUUGGUUAUUCAUGUUGUUGUUGUUGUCUUAAUUUGUUGAUCUCUUAGUUUGAGGUGUCAUUUAACUGUCAUAAUAUGUUAUGAUUAUUAGAAUGGAUUCCAUCUAUCUUAUAACAUUUUAUUGUUCUUUGUGCACAGGCUAACCUGCCAAAGGAAAUUGCUGAUUACUUAAAUAAGAUGGGUGCAAGAAUACCAAACAUAAAGCCUGGAAAGGCUACUAUAGAAUACCUAAUAAAGAUUCAGGCAUCCACACGAUUUUGGGGUCUGUCAUUGAUUAGAAAGACUUGACAUUUUUCCUUAGUUUAAUCCACUCUUAAUAUUGUUAGAUUUUGGUCUUCUAUCUUGUGGAACUUUUGCAGGGGGACUGCUGUUAAGUGUAUUGGCCACUACAUCUACUAUUCUUGAUCACCAUUUACGGCGCAUCAAUGCUGGAUUUGCUAUUGGUUUUACCUCAGUUCUAAU